AAACAGCGGAGAGUUUGAUCCUGGCUCAGGAUGAACGCUAGCGGCAGGCUUAACACAUGCAAGUCGGGCGGCAGCAGGG
This 79-nucleotide ribosomal RNA is filed under the name Bacteroides sp. RNAcentral's name for it is "partial 16S ribosomal RNA". It matches the Rfam family "Bacterial small subunit ribosomal RNA", at positions 1 to 77 of the family's 1533-position model. The record is from RNAcentral. Lineage: Bacteria; Pseudomonadati; Bacteroidota; Bacteroidia; Bacteroidales; Bacteroidaceae.